GUAAUUUAGAAGUUUAAGAGAUUAUCUAAUCAAUAAUCAAACCAAGAUCGUGGGAGAAAAAAAAGUAAACUAUUUCCAUUGAUUGGAGAUUCCAGAACUCGGGGCAUCGUCUGACAAUGAGGGCAAGACCCUUCAGAUGAGAUGCUAUGAAGCAUUUCUACACACAAAGGCAUUAAGAUCAAAAUGCACACAUGGAAAUUCUGCACAGUCAUGAUACUGACAGCAAAGACACAACGCACGUGAUCACUGAGGACGAAAAUCCAGUUCCGCAGGCAAAUAAACACCACGGAAAUGGCAGAAACGACUGUGCAGCUGAACAAAGAGGGAAAUGAUAUGACUGCUACAUUAUGCUGUAAGGACAAUUGCAAUGACAUUAAACCCACGGCUGAAACGAAUGCAGAAUCAUCUCAACAACUACAUCCAAGUGGAGUACAUGAAAACAGCAAAAUUGUUUC
Molecule: non-coding RNA, 455 nt
Organism: Chiloscyllium plagiosum (whitespotted bambooshark)
Lineage: Eukaryota; Metazoa; Chordata; Chondrichthyes; Orectolobiformes; Hemiscylliidae
Source: RefSeq, a predicted model, not a curated record